RNAcentral lists this ribosomal RNA (910 nucleotides) under Salmonella enterica subsp. enterica serovar Mbandaka. Its description in RNAcentral is "partial 23S ribosomal RNA". It matches the Rfam family "Bacterial large subunit ribosomal RNA", at positions 546 to 1454 of the family's 2925-position model. The record is from RNAcentral. Lineage: Bacteria; Pseudomonadati; Pseudomonadota; Gammaproteobacteria; Enterobacterales; Enterobacteriaceae.
GAACCUGAAACCGUGUACGUACAAGCAGUGGGAGCACAGGUUUACCUGUGUGACUGCGUACCUUUUGUAUAAUGGGUCAGCGACUUAUAUUCUGUAGCAAGGUUAACCGUAUAGGGGAGCCGUAGGGAAACCGAGUCUUAACCGGGCGUUAAGUUGCAGGGUAUAGACCCGAAACCCGGUGAUCUAGCCAUGGGCAGGUUGAAGGUUGGGUAACACUAACUGGAGGACCGAACCGACUAAUGUUGAAAAAUUAGCGGAUGACCUGUGGCUGGGGGUGAAAGGCCAAUCAAACCGGGAGAUAGCUGGUUCUCCCCGAAAGCUAUUUAGGUAGCGCCUCGUGAAUUCAUCUCCGGGGGUAGAGCACUGUUUCGGCUAGGGGGCCAUCCCGGCUUACCAACCCGAUGCAAACUGCGAAUACCGGAGAAUGUUAUCACGGGAGACACACGGCGGGUGCUAACGUCCGUCGUGAAGAGGGAAACAACCCAGACCGCCAGCUAAGGUCCCAAAGUCAUGGUUAAGUGGGAAACGAUGUGGGAAGGCCCAGACAGCCAGGAUGUUGGCUUAGAAGCAGCCAUCAUUUAAAGAAAGCGUAAUAGCUCACUGGUCGAGUCGGCCUGCGCGGAAGAUGUAACGGGGCUAAACCAUGCACCGAAGCUGCGGCAGCGACACUGUGUGUUGUUGGGUAGGGGAGCGUUCUGUAAGCCUGUGAAGGUGGCCUGUGAGGGUUGCUGGAGGUAUCAGAAGUGCGAAUGCUGACAUAAGUAACGAUAAAGCGGGUGAAAAGCCCGCUCGCCGGAAGACCAAGGGUUCCUGUCCAACGUUAAUCGGGGCAGGGUGAGUCGACCCCUAAGGCGAGGCCGAAAGGCGUAGUCGAUGGGAAACGGGUUAAUAUUCCCGUACUUGGUGUUAC